This 96-nucleotide small RNA is filed under the name Flavobacterium segetis. RNAcentral describes it as "Flavo-1 RNA". It matches the Rfam family "Flavo-1 RNA". Lineage: Bacteria; Pseudomonadati; Bacteroidota; Flavobacteriia; Flavobacteriales; Flavobacteriaceae. The record is from RNAcentral.
AUUUAGCCCCGAUUGAAGUGGCAUCCUUUUUUAUAGCUUCCAGCCUUUUGAAGGCUGGAAGCUAUAAAAAAGAUAUAGCGUAAAGCGGGUGAAAAU